RNAcentral lists this transfer RNA (61 nucleotides) under Heterocephalus glaber (naked mole-rat). It matches the Rfam family "tRNA", at positions 6 to 65 of the family's 71-position model. From Rfam's summary of the family: Transfer RNA (tRNA) molecules are approximately 80 nucleotides in length. Their secondary structure includes four short double-helical elements and three loops (D, anti-codon, and T loops). Lineage: Eukaryota; Metazoa; Chordata; Mammalia; Rodentia; Bathyergidae. The record is from Rfam by way of RNAcentral.
UGGAGCUCAGUGGCAGAGCAUUUGCCCAGCAAGCACAAGGCCCUGGGUUCGAUCCCCAGCA